UACAGAGGUCCCGAGCGUUACUGAGAUUCACUGGGUUUAAAGGGUGCGCAGGUGGCGCGUUAAGUCAGUUGUGAAAUCCCCGGGCUCAACCCGGGAAUAGCUUCUGAUACUGGCGUGCUUGAGGCCGGUAAGGGCUACUGGAACGGACGGUGGAGCGGUGAAAUGCGUAGAUAUCGUCUGGAACGCCGGUGGUGAAGACGGGUAGCUGGGCCGGAUCUGACACUGAGGCACGAAAGCGUGGGGAUCAAACGGG
Molecule: ribosomal RNA, 253 nt
Filed under: uncultured organism
Description: partial 16S ribosomal RNA
Rfam family: Bacterial small subunit ribosomal RNA
Source: RNAcentral